GUGAGAAAAACAUGUCAAGAACGAACCUCCAGUUAUGAAAGCGCUUUUCCAAGUUCUGCGAUUCCUGCUGCUCUGCGCUCCGAUUAUCUCCCUUCCAGCUCCACUCCAGCAACUCGUCGUGCUUUGGCAGGUUCUUCUUGACAAUGUGCGCCCGGCAAGAUGGCGGCGGGAUGAGUUUCUGUGGCGUGAGGACGCCGAAAUGAGUGUCCUGUCUGUUUGA
This 220-nucleotide long non-coding RNA is filed under the name Lepisosteus oculatus (spotted gar). RNAcentral's name for it is "lncRNA (ENSLOCG00000022948.1)". The record is from RNAcentral. Lineage: Eukaryota; Metazoa; Chordata; Actinopteri; Semionotiformes; Lepisosteidae.